UUACCUUUUUCAUUUCUCUUUCCAAAUCCGUCUCGAAAUGCCCCAACCAAACACAACAUUGGGUUCCAAUUAGUGCCCACCAUCCAGUUCCCAUGCAUAAUAAGCAACAAAGGCAUCAAUUUGACUUUGAAGUCUUGGCGAAGAGAAGCUGGAAUCUAACCGUUGUUACAGAUAACAUCAGGGGACUGAUCUGCCUUUGAAAUUCCAAAAUACCGAAUUCAAUGUUCUUAAUAAUUGUAGCAGUUGUAAUAGAAAUUGAGCUUCUAUACUUAUUGGAUUUCUCAUACAUAAUGUUCAUUUAUUACUUGAUGUGUUUCUUAUAAUUGUUUCACAAUGUUUCUAAACUAUUUUCCUGUGUCUUCCUCGUUUCUUUUUUUCUUCACAGCCAACCUGUUGUCCUUGUGGGGACGAGCGUAGGGUUCCGUCAUCAUGUGGAAACUUCUAUGAUGAAGGGGAAGGCCAACACUGCACACUGUCUCCGAUUUCCAGGUGAUUGGUUCCAUGUUUUUGGUAUUGGACAGCGCUCAGUGGGAUUUACCAUUCGGAUUGAGGUGAAGACAACAUCUAAAAUAUCGUUAAUCAGGAAAAUGCUUUUGGAGAUUUUUGCUUACAGGACGUGAUUGUGGGCCCUGGGAAUAGAACAGUAACAUCCAAUGAUAAUUUCUUACGAGCAAAUCUUAUUGGAGAUUAUGUUGGAUACACAAACGUUCCUACAUUUGAGGAUUACUACCUUGUUAUUCCAAGGCAGGGUGGCCCAGGUCAACCAUAAAAUCUGGGAAGGAACUUUUCUAUGUGGAUGCCGAUUGAGAGAGUUAGAUUUACUUUAGAUGGUCUUGAAUGUAACAAAAUUGGUGUGGGUUAUGACGCUUUCAAUGGGCAGCCGGAUUUCUGCUCAUCCCCAUUUUGGAGUUGCUUGCAUAAUCAGUUGUGGAACUUCUGGGAGGCUGAUAUGAACCGAAUCAGUAGGAAACAGUCACCACUUUAUGUUGUGCAAGAGAGGUUUGAAAGGAUAAACCAGCAUCCAAAUUCAGGGAGUCAUUCAUUCUCCAUAGGAAUAACUGAAGUUCUUAAUACAAACCUCUUGAUAGAACUAAGUGCUGAUGACAUAGAAUAUGUCAACCAAAGGUGAUCAGGCGCGUGACCAAGCUUAAAGGCAUCUGUUUGGAAUCUGUUUUUGUUAGCUAACCUAUGUACCUCCCGUGAAGGUUCCGAAUAUGUCAAGUGGUUAUGGCUACGCGAUUUAAAGUUUAAGUUUUGUUUUCUUGUUUGGUUAAACAAGCCUUUGUGUAUUUUGUAAAUAGGGUUAAAUCCCUUUUUGUCUAAUCUGCAUAUAUAUGAUGACGUAAGAACGAUGUGUAUAUAUGUAUAUAAAAGUUUAAAAACUUUCUGUCCCAAACAAGUCUGCACAGUUCAAUGGACAUUAUA
Camellia sinensis is the source of this 1425-nucleotide non-coding RNA. Lineage: Eukaryota; Viridiplantae; Streptophyta; Magnoliopsida; Ericales; Theaceae. The record is from RefSeq and is a predicted model, not a curated record.